RNAcentral lists this ribosomal RNA (260 nucleotides) under uncultured bacterium. RNAcentral's name for it is "partial 16S ribosomal RNA". It matches the Rfam family "Bacterial small subunit ribosomal RNA", at positions 524 to 783 of the family's 1533-position model. The record is from RNAcentral.
UACGGAGGAUCCAAGCGUUAUCCGGAAUCAUUGGGUUUAAAGGGUCCGUAGGCGGUUUAGUAAGUCAGUGGUGAAAGCCCAUCGCUCAACGGUGGAACGGCCAUUGAUACUGCUAGACUUGAAUUAUUAGGAAGUAACUAGAAUAUGUAGUGUAGCGGUGAAAUGCUUAGAGAUUACAUGGAAUACCAAUUGCGAAGGCAGGUUACUACUAAUGGAUUGACGCUGAUGGACGAAAGCGUGGGUAGCGAACAGGAUUAGAA